AACCACUUCGGUGGUCAUCCGUAAAAAUUGGAACGAUACAGAGAAGAUUAGCAUGACCCCUGCGCAAGGAUGACACGCAUAAAUCGAGAAGUAUCGCACUUUUUG
RNAcentral lists this small nuclear RNA (105 nucleotides) under Phytophthora infestans T30-4. Lineage: Eukaryota; Oomycota; Peronosporomycetes; Peronosporales; Peronosporaceae. The record is from RNAcentral.